Molecule: ribosomal RNA, 332 nt
Filed under: uncultured Gemmatimonas sp.
Lineage: Bacteria; Pseudomonadati; Gemmatimonadota; Gemmatimonadia; Gemmatimonadales; Gemmatimonadaceae
Description: bacterial SSU rRNA
Rfam family: Bacterial small subunit ribosomal RNA
Source: RNAcentral
CGCGUAGGUGGCUCGAUAAGUAGGAGGUGAAAUCUCACGGCUCAACCGGGAGGCUGCCUUCUAGACUGUCGAGCUCGAGCAUGGUAGAGGCAGAUGGAAUUCCCGGUGUAGCGGUGGAAUGCGUAGAGAUCGGGAAGAACACCAGUGGCGAAGGCGGUCUGCUGGGCCAUAGCUGACACUGAGGCGCGACAGCGUGGGGAGCAAACAGGAUUAGAUACCCUGGUAGUCCACGCCGUAAACGAUGGGCACUAGGCGUCGGGGGGAGCGACCCUCUCGGUGCCGUAGUUAACACUCUAAGUGCCCCGCCUGGGGAGUACGGCCGCAAGGCUGAA